GCUGGAAUAACUCAGA
This 16-nucleotide small RNA is filed under the name Arabidopsis thaliana (thale cress). The record is from RNAcentral. Lineage: Eukaryota; Viridiplantae; Streptophyta; Magnoliopsida; Brassicales; Brassicaceae.